This 230-nucleotide unclassified non-coding RNA is filed under the name Hevea brasiliensis (rubber tree). The record is from RNAcentral. Lineage: Eukaryota; Viridiplantae; Streptophyta; Magnoliopsida; Malpighiales; Euphorbiaceae.
AUUUUUGAGAUAAAGAUUUAGUUGGGUUGAGUUACUAAUAUUUUGAUUAUCAUCCCUCACGGAGUUGAAGGAAAGUUGCUGAAACCCUCUUCUGUUGCUAGAAGAGGCUUUCGUGUCCAGCUCACACAUGUUCAAUUAUAGGAACAUUAAAGAUAUUGGCAAAACCAAUAUCUUUCAGAUGAAUUUAGUUUCUGGUUUAAAGGUAAAAUCAAGUAUGUGAACCAAAAUGA